GGUUUCCUCCCACAGUCCAAAGACAUGCAGUUUUAGAGAGAUGCUACAUGUUCUCGUCUGGAUCCUUGUGCACCAAUUCUCAGGUAUAUUAUUGUAUAUUCCCUGAGGCGCUGCAGGUUACAGUACCUUUACUUUGAAGGCACAGCAGCAGUGCACGACCUGGGAAUCAAAACUACAACCUCAGAGUUGCAAGCCCAGUUCUCUGACCAUUACGCUGCACUACCAACCAGGGGGCCUUACAUCCAGAGUGUAAUAUAGGCUUCCUGCUUCAGAAUCUGUCACUGCUGUGUCUCUGUUUA
Molecule: long non-coding RNA, 299 nt
Organism: Anguilla anguilla (European eel)
Lineage: Eukaryota; Metazoa; Chordata; Actinopteri; Anguilliformes; Anguillidae
Exons: 3
Source: RefSeq, a predicted model, not a curated record